AUUGAACGCUGGCGGCAUGCCUUACACAUGCAAGUCGAACGGUAACGGGCCUUCGGGUGCCGACGAGUGGCGAACGGGUGAGUAAUACAUCGGAACGUGCCCGAUCGUGGGGGAUAACGAGGCGAAAGCUUUGCUAAUACCGCAUACGAUCUACGGAUGAAAGCAGGGGACCGCAAGGCCUUGCGCGGACGGAGCGGCCGAUGGCAGAUUAGGUAGUGGGUGGGAUAAAAGCUUACCAAGCCGACGAUCGGUAGCUGGUCUGAGAGGAUGAUCAGCCACACUGGGACUGAGACACGGCCCAGACUCCUACGGGAGGCAGCAGUGGGGAAUUUUGGACAAUGGGCGCAAGCCUGAUCCAGCCAUGCCGCGUGCAGGAUGAAGGCCUUCGGGUUGUAAACUGCUUUUGUACGGAACGAAAAGCCUUCUUUUAAUACAGGAGGGUCAUGACGGUACCGUAAGAAUAAGCACCGGCUAACUACGUG
Molecule: ribosomal RNA, 482 nt
Filed under: uncultured bacterium
Lineage: Bacteria
Description: partial 16S ribosomal RNA
Rfam family: Bacterial small subunit ribosomal RNA
Source: RNAcentral